UUCUCUGCUUUCUCUCUCUAUUUCUCUCGACUCCUCCCCCUCUCCAUUUCUUCCUCUUUCACAUUUCUCUCAAUUAAUUAUCUUUGAUUUCCCCCUUCUUCCAGUCGUAUAAUUCCAAUUCCAAAUUCUUAUUUUCUCCGCCGUACUAGUCGCCGGCCGACGACCUGAAAGUCGCCGGAUUUCGCCCCCUUCCGGCAAUCCGAUCGAAAUUAUUAUUUUCCCUCUUUUAGCCCUUUUUUUUUCUUUUUGCUCUCUGUUCUUGAUUGACAGUGAUAUCUUACCUUUCCGGAUAAUUUAUUUCUUUUCACCCCUAUAUCUACUGUUUUUUACCUUUUUAACCGCUGUCUUGUAUUUUGUUUUCACCUGAUUAAAAAGGGCCAAAGGGUUUGGGGGAAAAGAAAUUAAUUUUGUUCUAUUUAUUUAUUUGUUUCCUCCUUUUUUUUUCUUCCCCCGAUAAUUUCCCCGCUGGGGUUAGAUUCGGAUUUAAGCCAGUGGCUGACGUGGCAUGCAUCGAAACGACAGCGAUGAACACCAAAACGAUGCGUCUCCCUCCCCGGCGCAAUUUGGCGUCAAACAAGCGUAAGGAAAGAGAUGAUCCCUCCGACUCUUACAAGCCGCCGACACCAGCGGCUCCACCUCCGCCACCGUUUGCCACAGUGAAGCCAUUGGGUAAGCCGGUUACCGAUCCGAACGGUUCGGAUAAAUUGGUCGAACCGGCCGGGUCUAAUAAUCAGAUUCUAGCCGGUUACUUAGCCCACGAGUUUCUUACAAAGGGCACACUCCUGGGUCAACCGUGGGACCCAAAAGAGAGCCUGCCCGUGCCCUCCUCCGUAACCCUAGAAGGGAAGAAGCUGAAGCCGAGCCAGAGAGGGACAGCCGCCGCCGAGCCGAUGAUUGUUGAGGAUAAAGAGAAGAUGAGAGAGAGGGGCGUGGGAUGAGAGAGAGGUACGUGGAGGUUUCGAAAUUGCUGAAGACGAAAGGGGCCCACUUCCCGGGCAUUGUUAACCCUACCCAGCUCGCCCGCUUCUUACAAAUGUGAAGGAAAGGCGUGUUCUUGCAACGUGGCCGGAGAUGAUUGGGCCAACACCCACCCGAACCAAACCGAAAAGAGAGAGAUUCAGUUCGAAUUUCAAAGGCGGCCGGAGAUCGAUCGACAUACAAAUGAAAUGGCAGAGAGAAACCCUCGCUCUGGUUUUGGGGUAUGUAGAGGAGCGAUGAAAUGUGCUAUCCUGUUUCAUUAUAAAUUAUUUCGUCGUUUGUGGUUUUUUUUGUUGUUGUUUUGUAGAUCUGGAAUUCAUUCUUUUUCUUAAGCUGUAUAAACAUAAAUGUUUGUGAUGGAAAUGAAUGCCCAAUGUAAAGAAUCUAUACCAGUUGUUUGAUGAUGAAUGAACAAUAUGAAUCUGUCAGAGGAGGAGGAGCUGGGUUUUGCAUGUACUAGUUUAUAACUUAUAAGUGGAUCGAUUAUACCGAGAAUUUUUGAAUUUUCUCCUUUAGAUUCCUUGGAUUUUCCUCUUUCUUUGUGGGCUUAUGGAAACGAAAGGAUACUCAAUUGGCGAUCUUUUUAGAAGAUCUACAGCCAUGGGGGAGGACUGGUUCGGUUAGGGAUGACUGUACAGAGCAGCAGAGGAAUAAUUUCAUUCGUCUGAAAGUACUCUGCCUGCACUGAAAGAUGCGUUUGAGUGCGUAGUUGCAUUAAAAGCAGAGUGAAAGAUGC
RNAcentral lists this long non-coding RNA (1714 nucleotides) under Linum usitatissimum (flax). RNAcentral's name for it is "long non-coding RNA (LUSI_LNC003376)". The record is from RNAcentral. Lineage: Eukaryota; Viridiplantae; Streptophyta; Magnoliopsida; Malpighiales; Linaceae.